UGAGUUUGCAGUAGCAUCCAUCCCGUGGCAGGAGUAGAGUUCAGGCCCCCGGUUUUGCCCCCAUCAUUCAUUCUUUGUAGUAGAAAAGAGCAGCAAGCGCAAUCUGGCUUUCAUUGGUUCAUUGGUUAGACCUUUCUUUCCCGUGUAAAUUUUUCGCUUUCAUGUUCUAUAUUGGCAUUCCGUCGGUUCUAGCAAACACUUUAUUUCUGACAGACAGACAAAGUAGGCGAAAUAAUCGACCCGCUCGCGGUUAAAUCUUGCCGUGUGCUUGAAAUCUGUUUGUAGAGGUGCAGUGCGGUCGGAUUUGCUGUGAUCAUGUGGCUGGACUAGUGCGGUGCUACGUCGUUGUCCCGGCGACGGCGAGAAGGAAGAAAGGUAGUAGAAAAAUGGUGCUUGCGCGUUGGGUGAUGUGGACGGCAGUGGCGUCCGGCGUGGAGACGUCGAGCUCAUUCUCAGGGCGUCGCACCCCGCCGUUCAAACCUGGAAGUCCACACCGGCAUUGACCUGCUAUUCUGCUCGAGACGGCUAGCGUGGCACUCUGGCUGGCAGAGUCCUAAUCAUUUUCCCUUUCCCUGUGACGCAACCCGUGAGCGUGGAAUUCCAGCUCCUCUCCGCUUAUUAGUCACGCCGCACCGCAGCCCCUGUGGAACGCCACGCCAGAAAGAGAACAAUCUUUUGUUUUUCACUGAGCUCAACUUGUACCUUCUCCACCCCGCAACAAAAAAGAGGACUUGUACCUUCUCGACCCCGCAACAAAAAUGAGGACUUGCGAAUCAACCUGUGGUUGAGUUGGUUAGGUGGACAGUGGUAUCCCUAACCCACCAGGGUUCAAAUUCUGGUGCUUGCAUUAUUCCUGGAUUUAUUCCUGGCAGAAUCUUGGUGCACGCACACCAGGGGUAGGGUGUGCGUGUAUGCGUUCAUAGGGGUGAGUGUAUGCGCGUGUAUAUGAGCGUUUGUGUCUGUACUGAUGCUUAAAAAAAAA
This 982-nucleotide long non-coding RNA is filed under the name Triticum aestivum (bread wheat). RNAcentral describes it as "long non-coding RNA (TAES_LNC006425)". The record is from RNAcentral. Lineage: Eukaryota; Viridiplantae; Streptophyta; Magnoliopsida; Poales; Poaceae.